RNAcentral lists this ribosomal RNA (419 nucleotides) under bacterium. RNAcentral describes it as "partial 16S ribosomal RNA". It matches the Rfam family "Bacterial small subunit ribosomal RNA", at positions 355 to 776 of the family's 1533-position model. The record is from RNAcentral.
UGGGGGAUAUUGCACAAUGGGCGAAAGCCUGAUGCAGCGACGCCGCGUGGGGGAUGAAGGCCUUCGGGUUGUAAACUUCUUUUGCGCUGAACAAUGCAUGCUAAUGGGUGUGUUGAGUGUAGGGGUUGAUUAGUGCCGGCUAACUACGUGCCAGCAGCCGCGGUAAUACGUAGGGCGCGAGCGUUGUGCGGAAUUAUUGGGCGUAAAGGGCUUGUAGGUGGCUGGUUGCGUCUGUCGUGAAAGCUCAUGGCUUAACUGUGGGUUUGCGGUGGGUACGGGCUGGCUUGAGUGCAGUAGGGGAGGCUGGAAUUCCUGGUGUAGCGGUGGAAUGCGCAGAUAUCAGGAGGAAUACCAGUGGCGAAGGCGGGUCUCUGGGCUGUUACUGACACUGAGGAGCGAAAGCAUGGGGAGCGAACAGG